Gorilla gorilla gorilla (western lowland gorilla) is the source of this 1759-nucleotide long non-coding RNA. RefSeq lists it as uncharacterized. The record is from RefSeq and is a predicted model, not a curated record. NCBI's taxonomy places the organism in Eukaryota, Metazoa, Chordata, Mammalia, Primates, Hominidae. The transcript has 3 exons.
GCUCUCACUCCUCUCCUUGCUCCCAAUUUAUGAAGAAGGAUGUGUUUGCUUCCCCUUCCACCAUGAUGGUGCAUUUCCUGAGGCCUCCCCAUCCUUGCUGAAUAGUAUUACUGGCUUCUAGAUAAUUAUUGAAAGGAAUGAUAUUUUCUCAAAUUCACUGCACAAGAAGAUAUUCAAUGUUUCCCUUCCCAUUAAGGUGCUAAAUAUGCUAUCAUCUGUAACUCUACCAGAUACAAGCCUCCUGGGUGAUAAGAAAGACAGAGAAGCAUUUUUCAUAGAGAGUUGCCAGGAUUGCUCAGCAUCCAGAUCAACCAUGAAAGGCACCAGGAGAAUGAACAUCUGCCUUUUUCUUGUCCAUGAUUCUUCUACAUAAUGCUACUGAAGCGAAGAUAUUCUUUAAUUGUAGAAACAAGAAGAGAAGCAAAUAUAUUACUAGUAUCCAGAAGCUCCUUCACAGUUUUCAGAUAAUGCUAAUGAGCUAGUUCCUGGUGUGUAUCACAAACUUCUCCCAAAUUCUUCCCCCAAACAUUCCUUCAUGGUGGAGCUAAUUAGACUAUUGCAGCUCCACCUUUCAUUACUGCUUGUAUUUUGUAGAAAUUAGUGCAUAUGUCAUGGGCCUAGGGAGACAUCCAUUGCAGGGAAAUGGGAGUAGGGCAUUCCCAGUUUUAGCUAUAAUUGAAAAUUAUUCUUAGGGACCAAAAUGCCAUUGAAUAAUUCUGCCUUUUCUCCUCCUUGUUCUCUCUCUCUCUCUCUGUCUCUCUCAUAUCUAUCUUCUUUCUUUCUUUCUUUCUUUCUUUCUUUCUCUCUCUUUACUAAGUCUGGAAACCCUUAGAGUUUCUCUUGAAUAUAUCAAGCUAAUUAUUUUUAUUUCUAUUCACUACCUUUCAUGCAUUUCCUACUUCCAAUAAUCCUUUUUUAUUAAAUCUCCCAAUCCAAGUCCACCCUCACUCAAAAGUGACCUUCCCAGAGUAGGGUGUACAACGCGGAGUCCACAUAAACAUCUCUAUACUUCUAAGUUUUAUGCCAAGAGCAUGCUUAUUUUAAUAAGCAAAAAACAAGUAACAAUGAAGAAAAUAAUCAUAAAAUAAAAAUCCAAAAAAAUAGAAUAACAGAAGGUUUUCCUCAGAAUUAAAAAUAAACCUAUUUUUAUGCAGACAUAAAAUGAAAAAGUCUUUUAUGCACAGAUGUGUGAACCGGGACUAUAGCUGGGUAAUCAAAUGGAAAUAAAAGACAGUUUUUCUUACUUUAAGUCAUUUCACUAACAAGCCUACCGAAUGCAUUUGGAAACAAUCUUUCAUUGAUCAUUUUCUAUUAUUAAUUAUGGAUAAGCAGAGAUUUUUCAAAAGCCCCUGAACCUGCUUAGCUUGUACAAAGAUGCCACAAAUCAGAGCCCACGGGUUACAGGAAUUAUUGAUCCUUCUAUAAAACGAUCAUGCAAUCUCCUUCCUGAAUCCAGUAAAAUACUGAUUAAUAGGCUGAAAAGACAUCACUAUAGUAUUAAUCCAAGUACUGAAUUGAACAAUCAGUGGGCAAUCUUUAGUUUUCUCCUUAUGUUAAUGGUAGUUCAAACAACAACUUUGUAUUAUGUAUUUUUCUAUUUUAUGUUUUUCUUGCAAUUAUAACAUGUUUCAGAAAGUUUUUCUAGCAUCUCACCAUCCAUAAAAAUUCUCUCAGGAGGAGGAAGAAUUUUCCUUGUGACAAUUUCAGAGAUAUUCUUGUUUUUAGAUAGAAUUUUUAAUAAACUCUAACAAUUUCCUGA